CCGCCGCCCGCACGGCUCGCCCGCCCGCCCGCAGCGCGCCCCGGCUCGCUCGCUCCCUCGUUCGUUCGCUCGCUCGCUCCCUCGUUCGUUCGCUCGCUCGCUCGGGCGGGCGGGCGGAAUUAGAAGAGUGACCUUGGCUUAGCCCGGAAUAGAAGCGUGAACCUCCCAAAUGCCUGGCCACUGAGAAAGCUGAAGAACUGCUCUAGCCCCAUGAAAGGGUCCAAGGACCGCUUGAACACAGAUGAGAACACCACUCACCCCUCAUCGGAGAAGCUUCUUCCUGCGGUGAAUGAGAAUUAACAAAGAUAUCCACAGCUGGACAACGUGCAGAGAAGGACAGUGUUCGGAGCACUCGGUCCUAAUCGGGAUGUCUUUACCAAGCCCCUCUCUUCAAGGCUUCGGGGAUCCGUGCAGAAGAGUGGCCGAUGGCUCCCAGUGAACAACAUCUCCCAGACACACCAGGACUGAUGCUCAUGUGAACUCAUGGAGACUGUGGCGGCACACACAAGGCCUCCACGGGUUCAAACCAGAUGAAGUCCCAGCACUGAGGGGGGAAGUGGACACAGAGUCCACCCCUAACCAGGAGGCGAUUUGCAGUUGAUAGCUGCUGGGAGAGGGAAAAUCGGUUUUCUUCAACGGAGCGACACUAGAUAUGUCAGCCAUAUUCCGAGGCAGGCUCCAUGGCCAGGAGCAAGUUGCCAACACAAAACGGACUCCACGAUGUUUGUUUGUUUGUUUUGUUUUUAAAAGUGUGUGUACUUUUUGUUUUGGUAUUUUUUUCUUUCCUUUUUUUGUCUGUUUUGAUUUUUUAUUUUCAUUUUUGUUUGUUUGUUUGUUUUUCUUUUUUUUUUUUAAGAUUUAUUUAUUGUGUAUACAGUAUUCUGCCUGCAUGUAACCCUGCAGGCCAGAAGAGGGCGCCAGAUCUCAUUGCAGAUGGUUGUGAGCCUCCAUGUGGUUGCUGGGAAUUGAACUCGGGACCUUUGGAAGAGCAAGCAGUGCUCUUAACCUCUGAGCCAUCUCUCCAGCCCUGUUUGUUUUUUUACAGGCUUUCUCUCUGUAGCCCUUUGUAGACCAGCGUGGUCUCGAACUCACAGAGAUCUGCCUGCCUCUGCCUCUCAAGUGCUGGGAUUAAAGGUGAGUGCCACCAUACCUGGCUUUUUUUUUUUCCCAGUGAGAGAGAAAGAACAGGAAGUUGGGUAGGUAGGGAGGUGAGGAGAAUCUGGGUGGUGUUGGGGAAGGAGAAAGAAUAUGCUCAAAAUAUAUUGUAUGAAAAGAAUUUAAUAAUAAAAAAAUAAGAAAUUGGAGAGAAAAUACAUCCAAGAAGAAGAAUCAAGUUAUGGAGCUUAAGGCGGGUAGUGGAAGGGGCUGGGCAGGACACAGAGAAGACAGUUAUUCACGGCCAUGCUUCCUGAAGACUCGGCGACUGUCCCGUGUUCUCCAUGGUAAUUUCUAUCCAUGUAAACAGCCCUGCUUGAAUAUCACUUAGCUGUAAGAAAGAAUGGCAUCUUACAGCCAAAAGCAUGGUAGAGGAGGACGUCACAUUGUGUGAAAUAAGCCAGACACAGAAAGACAAAUUCUACUUGUCCUAAUUAAUAUUCAUAACCUGCAUAUAUCCAUGUUUUAAUAUGUACAAUUAGCACAUGCUAAUAAAAAUGAUGCAUUUAAUAAGAAAAUCGUGGCCUGAAAGAGCAUGUCAGAGAAGAUAUUUAAAUAUCCCAAACCAACUUCAUUUGUAUAUUUAUUUUUUAAAACCUUUUAAUUUAUUUUUAUUUCAUGAGCAUUGGUGUUUUGCCUUCAUGUAUGUCUGUGUGAGUGUGUUGGAUCCCUUGGAACUGGAGUUUCAGAUAGUUGUGGAUGCUGGGAAUUGAACCCGGGUCCUCUGGAAGAGAAGCCAGUGCUCUUAACCACUGAGCCAUCUCUCCAGCCCCAACUUCAUUAAUUUUGACAGAAAUGAAAAAAUAAUGUUGAUAUAUGGUCAGGCAAAAACUGGAAGCACACAAUUGGAGGUGGGCAAAAAAGAGAAAGAUGAGGAGGAGGUGAGUAUCAGCCACUGUCCCAUGCUUCUGAGGACUGAGACAGGAAUUACGCACCUGCCCGCUCAUGGAAAUGCUGGCUCAAGUACAGCAAAGCUUUAAGAGUUGGCUAUAAUUUGUGCGCUAGGGCCCUCUGGUGGUCACACGGUGCAGUUCCGGGGGGGGGGCAGAGAAACGGAGGGAAUAAUUAGAGAGACAUUUAAGUGAAAUAAUUCUUAUUUAGGGACUAGAUACAAAUAUUAAAAAUUUAGAUUAAACCAAUGAUUAACAGACACAUAACUUUAAAAUAUCUUUAGAUUUCUGUAGUAAUUUAAGACAUUUUAAGUGUGUGUGUGUGUGUGUGUGUGUGUGUGUGUGUGUGUGUGUGUGCAUGUGCUCCUGCAUGAGCAUGAGGAUGACAGACUAGAAGGAGAGCAGGAAAGGACAUAAAGAGGAACUGGAGAGAGCAGUCUGGGAGGGAUCUACCACAAUGCUAACAGGAAUUAUUUCUAUGAGGAAAUCUGAAGGAUAAUUUUCUAUUUCUUCCCUUAAACUUUUCUGUAUUUGCCAAAGUUAGUACAGUGAACGUUACAUUAAAAAUGAAGCAAACACAAAUAUUCUCAACGUAAAACAUGAGCUUGGGUUUUACAUUUUUUAACUGGAGCCAUACCAUAUAUUAUUCUAAAACUAGCAUUUCUUGUUGUAUCAUCUAGGGAUAUUUCUACGCUACCAGCGUUUACAAUUCAAACCCACUUAAAUGAAUAUUUAUUUGUACCUCGAGAAGAAAGUUCAUCAUUUCAAUACUUGAUGUUCAUCAGUCCAUUCAGAUGCAUCGGCUUCAGGGAGAAGAUGUAUUUCCACUGAAGAGAAGUACGAUGAAGUCAGCCAUCCCUCUCUAGUCAGAAUUGUGGUACAAAAGUUGUGGUACAGUUUUUCUCAUUGCUGUGAUAAAACACCACACAAAAGCUACUUAAGAAUGGAAGGGCUUGUUUUGGGUCACAGUUGGAAGCCACAGUAGCAAGAACAUGUAAUGACUGGUCAUAUUGUGUCCGCAGUCAGGAUAUGAGAGAGAGAGAGAGAGAGAGAGAGAGAGAGAGAGAGAGAGAGAGAGAGAGAGUGCUUUCACCUCUUUUUCCUUUCCACCCAGCCUGAGACACCCAUCCCUGGGAUGGUGGGACCCAUACUCGGGGUAGGCCUUCCCUCUUUAGUUAAACCUCUCAAGAGAUGCCCUCGCAGAGGUAUGUCUCCUAGGUGACUCCAAAUCCAGUCAAUGGAGAUUAACCCUCACAGGAUGGCCUGUCUUAGACUGAGCUAUGCUGCCCAGUCAGAGCUGAAGGGAAACAGCCUAAGGCUGGACACUUGCCCUCACCUCUGCCAUGACCUUGGUGAACCUCCAGGCACUUUGUUCAGGCUGACCUUUGAGACACUGGAAAUAGAGUGUAAGUAAAGGAGUUCUUUAAAAGAGAAGAUCAUAUAGACCUAAAGGGGUGUUGCAGCUUAUGGGGGUGUGUGAUAACGCAUUUUCACUAGAAAACGAAGUUGGAGCUGCUUUCAGAAAAAUUUAAAAUUUAAUGAAAUUGUCAAAGAAUAAAGAAAUUACUUAAAAAGCUAAUGCAUAUAUUGUAAACUGUCCAAACAAUGUGAAGUGGCCUUCUCCUCACCUCAGUUUUCAGCCUAUUUCUGCAUUAGUGCAUUAGCUGUUACCAACGGGUUCCAGUGACGUUCUCGCGUAAAAGCAGCGAAUUCAAAUAUGUCUUUCCCUGUUUUAACAUUCAAGUGAGAACACAUUACCUCCAUGUGUCCCAGGACUACAUGAUUCUAACAAAAUGUAACUGUCUGUCUAGUAGCCUUUUUGUUUGUUUGUUCAUCCAAGGUGUGACAUGUCAGAACUGGGGUCUGGCUGUGACUAAGUCACAUCCCAUUGUAUGUGCACAGCAGCCGUGGCUCAUCUGCCCGCCCAGCCUUCAGUCAUGACUAACUGUCAACUGAGUAAACACCCAAGGGACACGCAUUAGCUGAGCACUUUAGAAAGAUCAUCUGUCUACAGGGGACAUUUCUUGGACUAAGGGUGAAGAGUAGAAAAGGAAGAGACUAUUCCAGAACAACAGGAAGCAGAAGAGAGCAGGACGGGGGUGGGGUGACUCAGUUGCUCAAGUGUGAGGACCUUUGUGCCAAUCCCCAGCACUACGUAAGAAGCCAAGUGUGGUGGUGCACACACCAGUGAUCCCAACGCUAGGCAGGCAGAGAAGGGAGAAGUCCUCAGGCUUGCCAUCCGAUGGUCCACCUAUCUCAAAACAUAUGAUGGAAAGUUCACAGGAAUAUGUCCAUAUGCAUAUAUAUACAUAUAUAUACAUAAUAUAUGUAUAUACCACAUUUCCAUCAGAUAAAAUAGAAUUUAAGAGAAAAUGUAACGUGUUGUGGAAUAUUUAACUAUGUAAAAUGUGUUACAUUUGUUUCACCUUGUCUGCCUAAGGCACCUGAUUGGUCCAAUAAAGAGCUGAACGGCCAAUAGUGAGGUAGACAAAGGAUAGGCAGGGCUGGCAGGCCGAGAGACUAAACAGGAGGAGAAAUCUAAAGAGUGAGAGAGAAGAGAGGAGAGAAGGAGGUUGAAAGAGAGGGACCGCCCUGGGGCCAGAAGCCAGGCAGACGCCAGCCAGACACAGAGGAAACAGGGAAGUAGGACAUACAGAAGGAAGAAAGGUAAAAAGCCCGAGGCAAAACGUAGAUAAAGAGACACAGGUUAAGUUAAAAGAACUAGCCAAAAAAAUGAGCCUAAUUUAAUCCCAGCACUCGGGAGGCAGAGCCAGGCGGAUCUCUGUGAGUUCGAGGCCAGCCUGGACUACCAAGUGAGUUCCAGGAAAGGCGCAAAGCUACACAGAGAAACCCUGUCUCGAAAGACC
Molecule: long non-coding RNA, 4912 nt
Organism: Peromyscus californicus insignis
Lineage: Eukaryota; Metazoa; Chordata; Mammalia; Rodentia; Cricetidae
Exons: 3
Source: RefSeq, a predicted model, not a curated record